Long non-coding RNA from Cyprinus carpio (common carp), 334 nucleotides. RefSeq lists it as uncharacterized. Lineage: Eukaryota; Metazoa; Chordata; Actinopteri; Cypriniformes; Cyprinidae. The transcript has 2 exons. The record is from RefSeq and is a predicted model, not a curated record.
CAGGAUCAGGAACCAGGACUCAGUGCAGUGAUCAGUGAUACAUACACCUCUGUUAAUCUUGAUGACAAUGGAUCGGAGCCUGCAGCUACUGAGCCGUCCCAGGAAAUGUGAAUGCCAGUGCGACAUUAGUUUGAUGUUGAGUUAAGAUGACAAGGAAAUAGGAAAUGGACAGCAUAAAGAAGCAGCAUGUCAAACAAGCAUGGACAUUGCUCUCAUUACGACUAAGUGGUGUUCACCUGCAAACUGGAAUAAUGAAAAAGUUGUUCUAGUUUUAUUGUGUUGUUUUAAGUCUCAUGUGAAUAUUGUAUAUACACAUUUAAUUUUCACCUUGAAA